GGCAUGCGGCUCCUGUUCGUGGCGGUGCUGCGGCGGCACACGGGCAACGCCGUCACGGCCGAGCGCGUCCGAGGCCACCUGGAGGCUGCCGGCCACGUAUGUGUUCUGAAAGAUGCCUUUGACUUGGAAAGCUCGUCCGAAAUCGCCAAGCUCAUCGAGGCCGAGAACCUGGAGGCGGCGCUGGCCCUUCACCUCUACAGAGGAGGCCGACUUCUGCAAGGUCAUGGAAUUCCUUUCGGAAUCAUCUUUGGUGGAACCGACCUAAAUGAAGAUGUAAACCACAGAGAGAAAAACAAAGUGAUGGGGAGAGUCCUCGAAGAAGCCAGAUUUGCCGUCGCUUUCACGGAGUCAAUGAAGGAAGUGGCACAAACGCAGUGGCCUCAUGCUAGGGGUAAGAUCUAUGUCCAGAGUCAAGGAAUUGUGACAGUACCAAAUGCUUCCUUUAACUGGAACACCUUUCUUCACCAAUCAGGGAUUAACCAAAGUGCUGAUAAUUUACACAUCUUUCUCCUGGUGUGUGGACUUCGGCAAGUGAAGGACCCUCUCUACCUGGUGGAUGCCUUCUCAGCGUGGCACCGAGAAGAGCCUCACGUUUACAUGGUGAUCGUCGGCCCAGAAGUGGACCCAGUGUUUACGAGGGAAGUGCAAGCCAAAGUAAAGAGGACCGCGGGGGUGCGGCUGGUGGGAGAGAUGCCCCAGGGGGACCUGCACGCGGCGCUCAAGAACUGCUUCGCGGUGGUGAACAGCUCGGUGUCCGAGGGCAUGUCCGCGGCCAUCCUGGAGCCCCCGACACGCGCCUUGCCGCCGCAGACGCGCCCGGGGACUAAGUGGCGCAGGUUAAGACUGCUUGUGAGAAGGAGACGUGGCCACGGGGCCUCCAGGACGUUGGGCCGGGUUUCACGUUUCCUUCUCGCUACGUGGGCUUCUUCCUUCGAUGGGCACCUGGGGCGCUGCGGUCGUGUUACUGGACGUAAUAUCCGUGACAUCCACUGCUUCCCUCGGACCCCGUCUCGUUGACUGACCUCGCGGGCAGCAGGUACGAUGAGCCAUUUCACAGGACGCGGCGCGUAACUAAAGCGGGAAAAAGAACAAUCGUCCCUAAACUAAGACAUGACUGAUGUGGGUGCCUACUCUUUUCCUGUGGCAUCGUUUAAAAAGAGCUAAACCCAAAGCAGCAUCAGGAACGGGGGUAGAGGCUGAACAUGGGUGCCUGGAUGCCAGUGCUGGGCACCCUCAGAGCAUGUACAGCACGGACCGUAACCUGCUUGUCGUCAGGCACAGCGGGGACCACCAUCGGAACUGCAUGGUUAGCAUCCGUCUCCACUGAGGCUCCCAGCGAGGUCAGUGCAGGCCUGGGGUUGGGGGUAGACGCUCAAACCCGGGGUCAGUGCACACUCCUUCACUCUCGGUCCAGCUUCAGAAGCACAGGCUGUUACAGCCGCAGUCCUUGAGCUGGUGUGGAACGGCUCCUCUGUUCUUGUGCAAGUUCCCUAAGAAAAAGUGAAGUCGAAUUCAGGAAUGAUUUCAAAACCGGUGCAUGCGGCAUCUGACUGCAGAUGAAUUGAUGCUGUCAAAUCUCAUUUCCUCCCGAGGAAAGGCAGCUGUGAGCCAGUCCGACUAACGUACCCGUGGCUGCCGUGCUUCUCAGAGCCCCAGAAUAGCCUCUGGGGUGAGGGCUUUGAAUGAAGCUGAUUUUAGGGGAGUGGUCCGGGGGCUUGUCAUCAGGGUCCAUUCAGAGAACCAAAGUGGCCAAGCCCUAGUGAUGGAAGACUUCUCAAGGCUUUGCGUUGAGAAGCAUUCUAAUCCCGGUGAUGAGGGAUCCGAAUGCAGCGUGGGUACACGUCGUGAAUCCUGGGAUCCACCCCCCCCAUCCCCACCUGAUAGGCAGCAGUCACCAUGCUGGACACGAGUCAUUCAAGGCCCUGAAAAUGCAAGCAAACCUCUCUGAAAGAAAAUCUGGACCAUGGAGAUUUUUGACCUAGGGUGUCCCUCUGAAGUGUAAAAACCCAUAAAUACAGGUGGCCAUACCCUCCCUUCAUCACCCGCACUAUGCUCUGGAGGCUGAUCUGCACGUGCAGAGGAGGUAUCAUCUCUGGAAUCUUCUGGCAAGUCUGCAGGAAACGAGGCACCAGCUACAAAGCUUCUUUUUAAGGUGGAAUCAGAGGUUUCCGUCCACCCAAUGGAGGGUUGAAGAGCUCACAGGGAAAGGAAUCAGGUGACUGUGGACUGAACCGAGCAUCAGACACCUUCCACUGUCCAAAAGCCUGGUACAGGUCUGCUCUGCUGGCUGCUCCACCUGCGCCCCCCCAGCCUCAUCCCUGAUCACCAGGGGAGAGCGAACAGCAGACGCACACGCCCACCUGGAACCAGACGUCGCUGGUCCGGGUCUCGUGGGGACCAGCUUCGUAUGCUUGUCCUGCCCUGGGACUUCGCCUCUCUUGAAGGCAGUUUGUUGUGAAGGAGGCGACUUCAUACCUUGGGGAAGUGACUUAGGAAUCAGAUUCCUUUUUUUUUUUUUAAAUAGAACUUAUUGUCAAGGUAGCUAAUAUACAGUAUAUACAGUGUGCUUUUGGCCAUAUUUAUCCUUCCUUCUCCCACAGCCCUACCCUGGCUAUCAUACCCUGGCUCCCAAAAAUGUGAUCAGAGAACAUACCUUUUAUGAUUUUGAUCAUUUUGAGUGUAUGGAAUCCUAUCUAUUUUGAUUUAACAUAUGGUCACGUUCCGGAAAAGGAACCAUGUGUACCUGGGAGGAAUGUGUCUUCUGUAGUUGCUGGGGACGUGCUGAAAAUGUCAGGUUAAGUCGGUUCGUGCUGUUCAGGUCGUCUGUCUCCUUCAUGGUUGUCUGUCUAGUUUUUCUAUUAUCAGUUAUUGAGAUGGGGUAUUGAGAUGUCCCAUUAUUAUUAUUAUUAUUUAUUAUUAAAUUAACUACUUCUCCUUUCAAUUCUGUCAGUCUUUGCUUCACAUGUUGCGGGGCUCUGUGUUCUGGUGUGUGCACAUCUCUAACUUCUGUGUUGUCCUGAUGUAGCGAUCCUUUUAUCAUUAUGAAAUUUCCCUCGU
This is an RNA transcript of Hyaena hyaena (striped hyena), 3057 nucleotides long. It is a transcript of the gene named glycosyltransferase 1 domain containing 1, with no coding region annotated. Lineage: Eukaryota; Metazoa; Chordata; Mammalia; Carnivora; Hyaenidae. The transcript is spliced from 12 exons. The record is from RefSeq and is a predicted model, not a curated record.